RNAcentral lists this small nucleolar RNA (80 nucleotides) under Castor canadensis (American beaver). RNAcentral's name for it is "Small nucleolar RNA U105B (ENSCCNG00000030140.1)". It matches the Rfam family "Small nucleolar RNA U105B". Lineage: Eukaryota; Metazoa; Chordata; Mammalia; Rodentia; Castoridae. The record is from Rfam by way of RNAcentral.
CCCCGUGCGGCUGAUGACAGCACUGCUGCUGAGACUCCAUGAUGGCUCAGUCUCAAAGUAAACGCACUGACGCACUCUGG